This 468-nucleotide ribosomal RNA is filed under the name uncultured bacterium. RNAcentral's name for it is "partial 16S ribosomal RNA". It matches the Rfam family "Bacterial small subunit ribosomal RNA", at positions 28 to 507 of the family's 1533-position model. The record is from RNAcentral.
GACGAACGCUGGCGGCGUGCUUAACACAUGCAAGUCGAACGGAAAGGCCCUGCUUUUGUGGGGUGCUCGAGUGGCGAACGGGUGAGUAACACGUGAGUAACCUGCCCUUGACUGUGGGAUAACUUCAGGAAACUGGGGCUAAUACCGGAUAGGAGCUCCUGCUGCAUGGUGGGGGCUGGAAAGUUUCGGCGGUUGGGGAUGGACUCGCGGCUUAUCAGCUUGUGGGGGGGGUAGUGGCUUACCAAGGCUUUGCCGGGUAGCCGGCCUGAGGGGGUGACCGGCCACCUUGGGACUGAGGUACGGCCCAGACUCCUACGGUAGGCAGCAGUGGGGAAUAUUGCACAAUGGGCGGAAGCCUGAUGCAGCAACGCCGCGUGCGUGAUGACGGCCUUCGGGUUGUAAACCGCUUUCGCCUGUGACGAAGCGUGAGUGACGGUAAUGGGUAAAGAAGCACCGGCUAACUACGUG